GUGCCAGCGCCGCGGUAAUACCGGCAGCCCGAGUGAUGGCCGAUCUUAUUGGGCCUAAAGCGUCCGUAGCUGGCUGCGCAAGUCCGUCGGGAAAUCCACUCGCCCAACGAGUGGGCGUCCGACGGAAACUGCACAGCUUGGGACCGGAAGGCUCGAAGGGUACGUCCGGGGUAGGAGUGAUAUCCUGUAAUCCUGGACGGACCGCCGGUGGCGAAAGCGCCUCGGGAAGAUGGACCUGACAGUGAGGGACGAAAGCCAGGGUCUCCAACCGGAUUAGAUACCCGGUAGUCC
Molecule: ribosomal RNA, 291 nt
Filed under: uncultured bacterium
Lineage: Bacteria
Description: partial 16S ribosomal RNA
Rfam family: Archaeal small subunit ribosomal RNA
Source: RNAcentral